UGACGUACUCUUUUACGAUGC
RNAcentral lists this non-coding RNA (21 nucleotides) under Arabidopsis thaliana (thale cress). Lineage: Eukaryota; Viridiplantae; Streptophyta; Magnoliopsida; Brassicales; Brassicaceae. The record is from RNAcentral.